UGUUGUGUGGUCUAGUGGUUAGGGCGUCCGGCAAACAACCGGAAGACCCAGGUUCGAUUCCUGGCAUGGCAG
Molecule: transfer RNA, 72 nt
Filed under: Glossina austeni
Lineage: Eukaryota; Metazoa; Arthropoda; Insecta; Diptera; Glossinidae
Description: tRNA tRNA-Val
Rfam family: tRNA
About the family: Transfer RNA (tRNA) molecules are approximately 80 nucleotides in length. Their secondary structure includes four short double-helical elements and three loops (D, anti-codon, and T loops). Further hydrogen bonds mediate the characteristic L-shaped molecular structure. tRNAs have two regions of fundamental functional importance: the anti-codon, which is responsible for specific mRNA codon recognition, and the 3' end, to which the tRNAs corresponding amino acid is attached (by aminoacyl-tRNA synthetases). tRNAs cope with the degeneracy of the genetic code in two manners: having more than one tRNA (with a specific anti-codon) for a particular amino acid; and 'wobble' base-pairing, i.e. permitting non-standard base-pairing at the 3rd anti-codon position.
Source: RNAcentral